This 508-nucleotide ribosomal RNA is filed under the name uncultured bacterium. RNAcentral's name for it is "partial 16S ribosomal RNA". It matches the Rfam family "Bacterial small subunit ribosomal RNA", at positions 28 to 507 of the family's 1533-position model. The record is from RNAcentral.
GACGAACGCUGGCGGCGUGCCUAAUACAUGCAAGUCGAACGCUUCUUUCCUCCCGAGUGCUUGCACUCAAUUGGAAAGAGGAGUGGCGGACGGGUGAGUAACACGUGGGUAACCUACCCAUCAGAGGGGGAUGACACUUGGAAACAGGUGCUAAUACCGCAUAACAGUUUAUGCCGCAUGGCAUAAGAGUGAAAGGCGCUUUCGGUUGUCGCUGAUGGAUGGACCCGCGGUGCAUUAGCUAGUUGGUGAGGUAACGGCUCACCAAGGCCACGAUGCAUAGCCGACCUGAGAGGGUGAUCGGCCACACUGGGACUGAGACACGGCCCAGACUCCUACGGGAGGCAGCAGUAGGGAAUCUUCGGCAAUGGACGAAAGUCUGACCGAGCAACGCCGCGUGAGUGAAGAAGGUUUUCGGAUCGUAAAACUCUGUUGUUAGAGAAGAACAAGGACGUUAGUAACUGAACGUCCCCUGACGGUAUCUAACCAGAAAGCCACGGCUAACUACGUG